Molecule: ribosomal RNA, 427 nt
Filed under: uncultured bacterium
Lineage: Bacteria
Description: bacterial SSU rRNA
Rfam family: Bacterial small subunit ribosomal RNA
Source: RNAcentral
UGGGGAAUAUUGGACAAUGGGCGCAAGCCUGAUCCAGCAAUGCCGCGUGUGUGAAGAAGGCCUUCGGGUUGUAAAGCACUUUUAUCAGGAGCGAAAUACUACCGAUUAAUACUCGGUGGGGCUGACGGUACCUGAGGAAUAAGCACCGGCUAACUUCGUGCCAGCAGCCGCGGCAAUACGAAGGGUGCAAGCGUUAAUCGGAAUUACUGGGCGUAAAGGGUGCGUAGGCGGUUAUUUAAGUCUGCCGUGAAAUCCCCGGGCUCAACCUGGGAAUGGCGGUGGAUACUGGAUAGCUAGAGUGUGUCAGAGGAUGGUGGAAUUCCCGGUGUAGCGGUGAAAUGCGUAGAGAUCGGGAGGAACAUCAGUGGCGAAGGCGGCCAUCUGGGACAACACUGACGCUGAAGCACGAAAGCGUGGGGAGCAAACA